This 144-nucleotide unclassified non-coding RNA is filed under the name soil metagenome. RNAcentral's name for it is "partial internal transcribed spacer 1". The record is from RNAcentral.
UAAUAAGUGUUUUAUGGCACUUUUUAAAUCCAUAUCCACCUUGUGUGCAAUGUCGGUCGAUCUCCUUUUUUGAGGAUCGACCAAACAUCAACCUUUAUUUUUAACUCUUUGUCUGAAAAUAUUAUGAAUAAACAAUUCAAAAUA